Molecule: ribosomal RNA, 255 nt
Filed under: Klebsiella pneumoniae
Lineage: Bacteria; Pseudomonadati; Pseudomonadota; Gammaproteobacteria; Enterobacterales; Enterobacteriaceae
Also listed under: 1 other name
Description: partial 16S ribosomal RNA
Rfam family: Bacterial small subunit ribosomal RNA
Source: RNAcentral
UCUGGGAAACUGCCUGAUGGAGGGGGAUAACUACUGGAAACGGUAGCUAAUACCGCAUAACGUCGCAAGACCAAAGUGGGGGACCUUCGGGCCUCAUGCCAUCAGAUGUGCCCAGAUGGGAUUAGCUAGUAGGUGGGGUAACGGCUCACCUAGGCGACGAUCCCUAGCUGGUCUGAGAGGAUGACCAGCCACACUGGAACUGAGACACGGUCCAGACUCCUACGGGAGGCAGCAGUGGGGAAUAUUGCACAAUGG